This is a non-coding RNA of Pelobates cultripes (western spadefoot toad), 248 nucleotides long. Lineage: Eukaryota; Metazoa; Chordata; Amphibia; Anura; Pelobatidae. The record is from the annotation of a GenBank genome assembly.
UGACAGAGUGAGAGAGGGGUGACUAGUGACCGAGUGAGGGAGGGAGUGGGUGACUAGUGACAGAGUGAGGAAGGGGGUGACACAGUGAUAGUCACCCCAUUCCUCCCUCUGUCACUAAUCACCACCUCCCUCACUCUCACUAGUCACCCCAUCCCUCCCUCAGUCACUAGUCACACCCUCCCUCUCUCUGUCACUAGUCACACCCUUACUCGCUGUCACUAGUCACACCCUCCCUCUCUCUGUCACUA